AUAAAUAAGCAAACAGACAAAUAAAUAAAUACAUAAAAUAGUGACAGAAUCCGUCUCGUGCAGUCACUGUGGAAGAGACGGCAACGUAUGAACACAUGGUUCAGUGUGCACUUGGCGGUGGCUCUCACAUGCAGGGUUUUGAGGGCCGCUCUAAAGAGUCCGAUAUGGGUGGAAGAUCCAGGACAGAGUUUGACCUUUGCCCAGGCUUUAACCCAAAGGGCUCAAUCAGUAAGAAGCAGGGCUGUCCAAAUUUCCCCCUGCUAGGAAGCUCCUAAGACAUUCCUUCUCACUCUUUGAACCUUAGAUUUACAUAUUCACCCCUCUAUACAGGAGUCAGGAAAAAGCCUUGGAAUUUACAACCCUAUGUAGGAACUCUGAUAAGGAGGAAAUGCAUGUUGUCACCUCCUUAGCAGAUGUUUCGGGGAGUGUCUUAUGGGGAGGACUCUUAGAAGUUAGGAUAGAUUUUCUCUCUCUAUCCUGUACCCUCAGAUGAAUAAACUGAGUCAGUCACUACUGCUCCGCCUGGCCCAUGUCUCACGUUUAUUUCGCGCCUUUCUGUUUGGUGGACUAUCUGGGCGUGGGAACAGGAGGGCCCUUAAACACUGUUUGUUUCAGAUUUCUAUGAAAGAUACAAAGGCAGAAAUGGGUAAUAAUGGCUCAUCAGCUUUGCAGAUGGGACCGAUGAGGGAGGAGCUCAGAGGCAGUGUCACAUAGGAUCUUGGCAGGCCAGAACAGGAAGCAGGAUCUUCUACUUGGGUCACGAUUGGCUAAGAGCUGGGAGUUGGGGUGGCUUGCAGGCUCCCUGAGUCAGCACAAGAGCCAAAGGGCCUUUGGCUUGCGUUAGUAUUAGAAUCUUCAGGAAUAGGGAGGGUAGAGUGUCCUGCUUAGAACCCAUUGGGAGGACAGCGUAUGAGAGAGGUGAUGAGCUAGGGGGUGCCCAGGAGGGCUGCUGGGAAGGGAGAGUGUCACUUUAUGUCCCAAGAGAAGGUUUAGCCUGGAGACUGGGUAGAGGGGGAUGGGCAGAACAUGUGCCAUUUCCUGCCAAUGUGCCCCUGGACCCUCCCCUCCCCAAGCUGUCCUCUCUCCUGUCAAGCCUUGCAGGACCAGGGUUAGGGUCAGAAAGUGCCCUUGGUUUGGAGCCAGAAGGACUUUCUUUUGGAAUACCAGCUCUGCCCUCGAUGAGAAUGCGUAGCUGCCAGCUGCUUGCUUCCUCUUCAGCCAUUUUCUGAGCUGCUUGUAGGCUGGGUUCCACCAGUUUGGGGCUAAAUCCUUUCUUUGGGCCUGAAAUUCUGAGAUUUGGGGGGGGGUGAGAGUAGCAGCAAGCUCCCUCUUCCUUCAGGGACUUACUCUGAUGCUGAUAGACCUGGCAUGGCCGAUGUCCACUGAAGGGGCAGUUUUGGGGGACCCUGCUAGUGUCUCGGGCCAACUGGAUCUGACCCCCAAGCCAGUGUGGCCGGCUGAUGAAGGAGGACCAUGCCCAGGUCACUCUUGGCUGCAAUGGUCCUGACUCGGGGCACAAAGUUGGGGUGCAGGCAGAUCCAGGAGCCGUUGAGCCAGGUCCCCAAGCCCCUCAUAGGCAGGAGGCCUGGAUUUCUGAGGGGCAUAAUGAGAGGAAUUCAGGUCCCUGGAGUGGGAAGAGGAACUCUAGCACCUAGCACCCGGCUUAGACACACAGGACAAUCAUCAAUCCAGCACCAGCAGCACAGGAGAGAGCCAGGCUUAGGCCACAGAGGCCCAGAAGAGCCCUCAUCGUCCCAUUCCGGUCCACAGGCUGGGAUGGCAUCCACAGUGCCAAGGGUGCUCGAGCUCUGCCCACUCUGGAGCGGAAAUGUUGAGGUCACAGGGACCCCCCAGUGUGACAUCUGCGUUGCCAGUCACCGUGCUAGGGGCAGCUCCCCCUGCUUCUGCUGCAGCCCAGCCCACACCCCCAUGUUUACCCUUACUCAGUGUCAGCUGAUUCAGCCAGAGGCACAGAGGAGAAGGAGGAAGGCCAAGAAACAGAGGGAAGAAGUCUGUCCAGGGCUUAAAGGAUGGAGAAUGAGCCAGUCAUGGGGUCAAACAUGAUUCUUUACUACCCGA
This is a non-coding RNA of Phascolarctos cinereus (koala), 2079 nucleotides long. NCBI's taxonomy places the organism in Eukaryota, Metazoa, Chordata, Mammalia, Diprotodontia, Phascolarctidae. The record is from RefSeq and is a predicted model, not a curated record.